UCCUUCAUGAUAUCUUGUGAUUCAACCAUGGAAAAUGCAAAAGAAUGCAUAGGAAAGAUAGAUCACAAGCUAGAGUUAAGAAAUUUCACCUUUGAUGUAUUGAUUCCUUGAAAUCUAGUGAUUUUCCUUUGAAUUGCUAAGCUAGGGUUUAGUUCUUCUUAUUUUCUUCCCUUUUCUUCCUUUGGCCGGCCAAGAGAAAUGAGUUGGGAGGGUUAUGGGCUGAUUUUUAAAGCCAAAUAAUAAAAUAAUCCAAGCUUGAUACUUGUCACCAUGUUUAAAAACUUAAUAAUUAAGCUUUCUUUCUCCAUCACAUAAAAUCCUUCAAUUAUCCAUAAUGAUAUUGGGUAAAAUUCAUGUGCUGGACAAGUGUUGGGUGGUGUAAAAUGAUAAUUUUGCCCUCGAGGUGGCAAAAUGACUAUUUUGCCCUUAUGCUAGAAAAAAUUUCAGAAUUAAAAUUUUUCACUUCUUAAACUCAAAUUAUACUCCAAAUGAUCAAUCUUAGUCAAAAAUUUCAUCCAACACUCACAUCUUAACCUCGAGUGGUAAAAUGACCAUUUUGCCCCUAGGUCAUGAAAAUUCCACUUUGACUCCAAAUCGGUCCUCGAACUCCGAAUCACCAUUUUAAGUCAUUUUGGGGUUUUAAAAUUCUCAAUUUUAUCUUAAAAUCUCUAUUUGGAUUAGUUCGAGGCUUAAUUUAACUUAAUUGUACCAUUUGGUACAAUACCGUCCUUUAACGAUUUUUGAGGUACCCAAGUAAGCAAACAUGCAUUCUUCUGUAGGAAUGGCAUAAUAAACAUAUUCUAAAGCUGGGCUUGACAGCACUAUCCCCCUUAAAAUAAAAUUUUGACCUCAAAAUUUCAUUUACUGAACUAAGAGAAAAUGUGAGGGUAUUGUUUUCUCAUCCCAUGCUUGACUUCUUAUGUCCUCCCCUUUACAGGGAAUUUUGAUUUGUUCACCUCAUUUACCUCCAAUUUAACUUGAGUACUUCACUUAUGUCUAUUAUUAUCCUUUAAAAUCAUAUCAACAGUAACCUUUACAAUUAUGAUCUUUUUUAUCGAGACACCAAACAUACUUCUAUUACUAUCAUUAAACUUGAACCAUAACUCCAUCUCAAUCAUACCAAUUUCGAUCGCAUUUUAUACUUAUUUAGGUAUACCAAUCACUAUCUUAUUACUUCAUUCCAUAUCAAACUUCUCGACUUUCAUUCAUUCAUUCCAUCCUCAUACAAUAUUGUGUAGUUUAUUGUAUCAUUAACAUGCCAUACUCAUUCCUAUACAUAUCCUCAACGUUAAGGAAGAUUAAUGGCUUCAAUUAUUUCCACAUACUUCAUGUUUACCUUACAUUUAGGAAAUUUCAAUCUUCUUAAUCCUAUUAGUCCAUCUCAUAUGGCUUAAUCGCACUAUGGAUUACAUUCCCUUAACUAUUUCCCCAAAAUUCCUUAGGUCACCAUAAAUCGUCUUCUGAUAAGAUUCUUAAUCGUUACAUUAUCUAUACAACUCAUCAAAUAUAUUGAGUUCAAAUCUCGAACCACUAAAACCAUUCUUCAUUUUAGUUGGGUACAUCACUAACUCCACACAUACGUAUACACGUACAUUCAAAUGUCCAUAUUCCUCAUUAUAUAUACGAGUCUCUGUUUUCAAAUGCCUUCAGACUAAUUUCUCUUAAUUCAUUCCCAUCCACAAUCAAGAUUCAAUAGAAUAAUCUUCAUAAUUCAUACAAAUUCUCAUCAUGCUUGUGCAUAGUUCCACAUCAUUUACAUACUUAUACUCUCUUCUUAUCAUUUCCAAUUAUAUGCUUAAGUUUCCUUAUACUAUAUAUCAUUGCAUCAUAAUAUCAUCUCCAUUAAAUUAUAAUCUAUUAUGCGUGUAUGCUUUAUAAUCCCAUUGAUAUUUCAAAAAUUUUCCUUAACUUGAUCAUUGCAUGUUAUGCAAUACCGUAAUUCCUAAAAGUCAUCCUUAUUCCUCGAUUAUCUUUCAUGCCUCUUACAUAUAUUGUAUCCUUAUUGCAUUCUGAUAUUGAUUUGUCACUUAAGACUCAGACUCAUUUGAAUCAUGUAUACCUCAAGCAUUUUUGAAUUCCAAUUUUUCAUAAUAUAUUAGGAAAGUUUCAUUAUCUAACUUCAUUAUCAAGGUCAACUUCAAUCAUCCUUUGUUCCACUCUUUCAUAUGAACAUAACAUCAUUCUCCCUUAGCCAAUUUAUAAAUUGCACUUGAAAUUGCAAAACUUGAAACUAGAUUCUCCUCAAGUACCUUUCAACGUUAAUAUGAAUAUCACUCUCAGCUUACAGCUUCUUUUUUAUAACUACAUAACUUAGUGCUUGCUUUCGCAAUAUCCAUGGCAAAACUUCUCUUGAGUAUUUCCUUGGGGAUAUCUAUCUUAAACUUAUGUCUCAUGUGAUCACUUAACUCGUGACUUAGCUGUUUGGCUCCUUAGCAAGUUUCAAAGUCACGCAUCUUAUGGUCAUCACGUAUAACUUAUAAUUCUUUCUCAAAGGCAUUUAAACAUUCUGGAAACACUUAAUCACUUAUUUGCUCUUUCAUACUCUGAGCAUAUCCUUUCCAUAAAGGCAUGCCCAACUACUCAUGCUUCAAUUUAUCUCCAAGGGUUUCUAGCAUAGCACGUAGUUUACUUGUGUUGUCACUAAUCCUUUCCUUUCAACAAAGUCAACUCAAGAUUUGUAAAUUCUCAUAAUAAUAUUCUAUAUAAACUCAUUUGCUAUAUCAUUCUUGAAAUCUUUAUUCACACUUUCAUCACUUGGUAUUGACAUCUCUUAUCAAUAUCUCAUACAUACAUCUAACUAUUCACUCGCUUUCUCUUUAGUCUUUAACAAGACUUAAUCUCUUGUCUUCUUUAUUUCUUAAGAUUUGACUUCAGUUAACAUAUUAUUCAUCUUAACACUUCACAUGUUAAUUUAUUUUUAUGUAGCCAUCUCAAAAACUCUCUAACUUUUCUUUCUCUUACAUGCCAAUAUAUAAGGCAAUAAAGAAACUUUGCAAUUUCACUCAUCAUCUUUAUCUUAAUACCUCCCCAAUGCACUUAAGACUCCAAACAACAAAGCUUAGCAUCAAAACCAAUGACCAUUCUUUAACUCGUAAGUUUCAUCUUCAUGCCACUCCCAAUUUGCUCGUGCUUUCUAGCCAUAAAGGGUUCUUAACCAAUUACAUUUAUAAAGUGGAUAAUUCACUUAAUUAGUACAUCUCGUCCUUGUAGUUAUGAGAUCAAGAUAUCUCGAAUUUAGGAUGCAUAAGUUCUUUCCUAGAGCAUAUCCAAAAAUCCACAUAUUUCAAGUCCCAUCUUAGGACAUCUUUCCCAUAUGGUGUAAUGAAUUCAUAAUAUAUGCAUCAUCAUAUGCAUAAUUACUUAUUAUUUAUGGUAUCCCACUAUUUUCAUUAUCCAUUUCUGAUCAUCUUCCUUGUCUUAUAACUCCAAUAGUUUAUUAACUUCCAGUACAAAGACCACGAAAAUAGUUCAUCUUUCACUACAUUUAUACUCACAAUCCUUAUUAAUAAAAAAAUUAUCUUUUUUCAAAUUCCUUCAUUUAUCUCUAAUGGACCAUAUUUGUUUUAGAUUAUCUUCCUAUAAUGUUAUGGCAUCAUUUUAUACUUCCUCCACUCUCAAGCUUACAAUCUUUGACUUUAUCACAUUAAUCGCUCAAAAUGUCAUCUAGAGCCUCAUUGAUUUCUUCCAUAUCUUUUCGAAUUAUAACUGCAAUUAAGAUUCCCAAUUUCACAUCUCCAUGAUUGAUUGUUAGUCUUACCACACUGUCUCCCAUUAUCCUGUGCAAUUUCAACAGACUGAACCCACUUAUUAUAACAUAGUCCCCUAGUUCAAUGUGUUUGCUCGGGAAUCAUCUUUUUUGAUACAAUUUGUCCCAUAAACCAGAAUUUCAUUUAUUUAGCUUUGCAUUCGGAAUCAUAUCAAAAACUCACAUACUAUGAUAAUAAAUAAUUUCCAACAGACACCAUCAGUUCAAAUGGCAUUUUAUACCUCGUCAAAAUCUAGGGUUAUCACUCCAAAAGUUCAUCACGUUAAUCGGUAUCCAUUUCUUAGUACUGCAAAAUACAUUCAUUGUUAAUUAGGGUGAUUGCUUAAAUCAUUAAUGACUUUCCACAUCAGUCUUCAAUAAUUAUUUAAGAUGAUCAACCAUGCCACUAAGAUAAAUAUCUUUCCUUAAUAGUCAUAAUGCUAAUCCACUUCUGUCCUACCAAAAGAUUCCCCUAUACCUCCAGUUACUUAAACAGCUAAUUUAUAAUACAUUACACUCAUACACUUUAAAAGCCAAACUAUUAACUUCUUUGUACAGAUAACUAUUAUCUCAUUUACUCUACAUCUACCUAGAGUUAAAGUAGUACAAGAUCCUACGAAAAUAUUACAUGUCAUUAGGACCAUCAUCUUAAUUUGAUCUUAUCGAAAGAUUCUACUCCAAGUCCUUCUUAAGAUCCUCUUCCGAGUUCUCCUCUUCUUGAGAUUUUCUCCUUUGUUCCUCAAUCUAGGCUUGUUGUAUUCUCCUACAUUCCUCAUCACUCACCGGUGCAGCAUUUUUUCCACAACCGGGAGAAAAAUGUCAUACAACGUUCACCUUCAUACGGGGAUUAUUUGCAACAGUUAAUUUCUCCUUAUUCUUUUCUUGUUGUUCUUUUACAUUCAUCCCAUAGCUUGGAGGAUAGUGUCGAACAACUGACAUGCCCUUCCUAAGACGAAUACCUCCCCUUGCAAUUGCCUUCCUCGCCCAAUCUCUAUGGUACUCUUCCAGUUGUUUCAAAAGGAAAUCUUUUACAGUUUUUGGAGUAUCGGAGUUGCUCUCACUUUCAAAAUUCUCGCUACUCUCGAAGCUUUCUUUAUUACGAAACUAUUAUGGAUUACCUAGAUUAGGGCGCCAUUGGCUCAUGGCAGUGGAAUCUAAUGAUCCCUUACUAGCACUAUGAGGGGUAUCGGGACUACCACCUCUUCUAGACAUGGUGUGUGUGUCACCAGCGCACCUCAAAACCUAUACGCAACCAAGUAGUAAUUACUUAAUCAUUUACGCAUCACCAGAGCAGGUAGGUUUCUAUAUGUAAAUGCAUGCAUUCGACUUAACUUAACCUAACUUAACUCAAGGCCACACUGACACUGUAAAUUUUAAAACAACUUUAAAACCAAAAGCUCUGUGCUCUGAUCUUUAAAACCAAAAGCUCUGAUAACAAUGUAAUUGUCAUAACCCGGUACUCCCUUCGAACCCGUGACAACCGUCGCAGUGUCCCGAUUGACACUCAUUACUCGGAAUGUCAACCAAAACCUCGCAAGGCUUUAAUAUCAAUUUUUCAUUUCCCAUAUGAGUAACCGUUGCCAAAUAUCAUGUUCUAAAAGAUUUUAAGCUAUUUCCAACUUAAAUUAAUAAAAAAGUGAUUUCUGUCUCACAAGGGUAUUUUGGUCAUUUUUUCUCAAAAAUUUCGAAACUAGCUAAAAAUGUAGUAUGCGAGUAUAAAAUACAUAAUUCAUAAUAAAAAAUAAAUUUAGAUGUCUAAAACAUUCAUUUACAGUGAAACUAUAACUAUUUGAAUAUAAUAAAAAUAUUUAAUAAAAUAUUAUAUUUUCUUAUAAAACAAUAUUUAUAGAGUUACCGGUAAAUAAUUUUUGUAGCGUAAAAGCUAAAUAAAUUCAUACAUAUUGUAAUAUAGAUAACCAAAGCAUAAGAUUUAAUCUAUAGUGACACAUGGGCCCAUGAACGACCAAAAGCAUCAAAAGCGGUAAACCUACAGUUUUGGAGGAUGCAAGUCCAACUGUAGCCCUCAACAAAGUGAGCUAUCUACCGACUAUCCUGAGCCUGAAAUGGGUGGAAAGGAGGGUGGUGAGAUUAUAUAAUCUCAGUGAGUAAACAAAUACCAUCUAAAAUAUGUAAAAUUAAGUAAAUGGAGACAGAUUAAAAUAAAUCAUCAUAUUGUAAUUCAUCACCUUUCAACUCAUUUCAACCAAAUAAAAUCAAUUCAUAUAAAUCGAGUAAUCAACAUGGCUUAUGAAUUUCUUAAAACUUUGGCUCGUGCCAAAAUCAUUCUCAUACUCAGUUAUCAGGGAUACCUUGGCCUGGGGCUAUCUCAAUCGAAUCCGCCAAGGUUGUUUAAAAGUCAUGUACGCAUAAAUCAUGUUUUUAUUUUGAAAACAUAGCCGUUCCUUGGCGUUGGUUGAGUUCACCCUCACGUGGUGGUUUGGCGUGAAGUGAACUCUAAAGUUGUACCUCGAGAGUUACCCUACACGCCUCUCCGACUGAGGUAAGAAUAUAAUUGGGUUAUCGUGCCCCUCUAAUAGGCUAGUCCACGGAACCCGCCCACUGUAGCACGCUAAACCCACCAAUUCAAUAAAAUCUGAACCGCAUGACAUGGCAAUUAUAUCACAAUCCAGCCUCUCAAGGCUAAAUACACAGUUCAGAUAUUUUCAGCACAAAUACCAAUUCAGCCAUUCAUGCAAAUAUUGUCAUAAGCCAUUCGAUUCAAACCAUGAAUUUAUAGCACAUGAAAACAGUCUCCAAUUACUCUAUUUUCAAACCAUCAUUUCAUUUCAAGACAAUGUUAUAAAAUCAUUUCAUUAAAUCACAUUUUAAUUACAAAAUACAAAGAUUUACCAUUUAACUCAUUUUUCAUAAAAUCACAAAAUCGGAUAAAAACCACUUUAGAUAAUUAAGAUGAUAGUAAGGUUACUCACCAUUUCGAAAGUCGAAUUUCGAGUAUUGUGAUUCUUGAUCCUCGAGUAAUAUCUCUUUACUUUUGCCAGAAUGCUUACCACCUAAACAUAAUGCACAAUAAGCCAUUUACUACAUUUGUGCUAAAUUGUUAUAAAACCAAUUCAGGCUCUAUACUAAUGCAUGAAAUGGGAUGUAAAUUGUUCGGAUUAUCGUCCAAAUAUUGUGUUCUACACAAAUUCAAUUGUGUACUUAAAUAAAACGGUAUUGGCCUAAUUCGAUCUAUCACUCGAUUAAUUGGCCAAUAUGUCCAAUUUAACUCCAAUUAACUCCAUUUUUCUUCCAAUUCUCCAAAACAUCAAACACAAUUUAAAUAACUUGAAAUAUGGCAAAAUCAUCCUCACAUUUUCUCUUGAAAAAUUUGGCCAUGGAGGUUCUUGAGGGGUAUACAGUUUUUCAUGCUAAACAUUACCAUUUUCGGUUUCCACCACCACAAUUCAUUAAAUUCUAACCAAAUAACAUAAGACAUCACAAGAUUCAUCUUCAAUAUUGUCUUUAUGAAAUUCGACCAAUGAAGAAUCCAUGAAGAAUAUGUGAUUUUUCUUACUUGUUUUCCUUCCAAACAUGAUAAAUCAACUAUAAACACUAAAAUAUCUCAAAAUCUAAUCAAAUAAAUCAUCAAAUCUUCUCUCUCCAAAUUCGGUCAGCCAUGAAUCCUUCAUGAUAUCUUGUGAUUCAACAAUGGAAAAUGCAAAAGACUGCAUAGGAAAGAUAGAUCACAAGCUAGAGUUAAGAAAUUUCACCUUUGAUGUCUUGAUUCCUUGAAAUCUAGUGAUUUUCCUUUGAAUUUCUAAGCUAGGGUUUAGUUCUUCUUCUUUUCUUCCCUUUUCUUCCUUUGUCCAGCCAAGAGAAAUGAAU
This 7570-nucleotide long non-coding RNA is filed under the name Theobroma cacao (cacao). RNAcentral's name for it is "long non-coding RNA (TCAC_LNC002553)". Lineage: Eukaryota; Viridiplantae; Streptophyta; Magnoliopsida; Malvales; Malvaceae. The record is from RNAcentral.